Molecule: ribosomal RNA, 307 nt
Filed under: uncultured bacterium
Lineage: Bacteria
Description: bacterial SSU rRNA
Rfam family: Bacterial small subunit ribosomal RNA
Source: RNAcentral
GACGAACGCUGGCGGCGUGCUUAACACAUGCAAGUCGAGCGGUAAGGCCCUUUCGGGGGUACGACGAGCGGCGAACGGGUGAGUAACACGUGGGCGACCUACCUUCAGCUCUGGGAGUAAGCCUGGGAAACGUGGGUCUAAUACCGGAUAGGACCGCAUGUCGCAUGGUGUGUGGUGGAAAGUUUGUUCUUAAUUGGACACUUCGGCUGGGGAGUGGGCCCGCGGCCUAUCAGCUUGUUGGUGGGGUGAUGGCCUACCAAGGCGACGACGGGUAGCCGGCCUGAGAGGGCGACCGGCCACACUGGGA